AAGUGCGAAUGCUGACAUAAGUAACGAUAAAACGGGUGAAAAACCCGUUCGCCGGAAGACCAAGGGUUCCUGUCCAACGUUAAUCGGGGCAGGGUGAGUCGGCUCCUAAGGCGAGGCUGAAAAGCGUAGUCGAUGGGAAACAGGUUAAUAUUCCUGUACUUGGUAAAGCUGCGAUGUGGGGACGGAGUAGGUUAGGUUAUCGCACUGUUGGAUAUGUGCGUUUAAGUUGGUAGGUGGGAAGUUUAGGCAAAUCCGGACUUCCUUAACACAGAGAGAUGAUGACGAGGCUCUACGGAGCUGAAGUAACUGAUACCACACUUCCAGGAAAAGCCACUAAGCGAAAGGCUUUACUAAACCGUACUGAAAACCGACACAGGUGGUCAGGUAGAGAAUACUCAGGCGCUUGAGAGAACUCGGGUGAAGGAACUAGGCAAAAUAGCACCGUAACUUCGGGAGAAGGUGCGCUUACAGUAAUUGUAGUCCCUUACGGAUGAAGGUGAAGUAAGUCGAAGUGACCCGCUGGCUGCAACUGUUUAUUAAAAACACAGCACUCUGCAAACACGAAAGUGGACGUAUAGGGUGUGAUGCCUGCCCGGUGCUGGAAGGUUAAUUGAUGGUGUAAUCGCAAGAGAAGCACCUGAUCGAAGCCCCAGUAAACGGCGGCCGUAACUAUAACGGUCCUAAGGUAGCGAAAUUCCUUGUCGGGUAAGUUCCGACCUGCACGAAUGGCAUAAUGAUGGCCAGGCUGUCUCCACCCGAGACUCAGUGAAAUUGAAAUCGCCGUGAAGAUGCGGUGUACCCGCGGCUAGACGGAAAGACCCCGUGAACCUUUACUAUAGCUUGACACUGAACAUUGAAUUUUGAUGUGUAGGAUAGGUGGGAGCCUUUGAAGCAGUGACGCCAGUCAUUGUGGAGGCGAGCUUGAAAUACCACCCUUUAACGUUUGAUGUUCUAACGAAGAUGACGAAACGUGGUCUCGGACAGUGUCUGGUGGGUAGUUUGACUGGGGCGGUCUCCUCCCAAAGCGUAACGGAGGAGCACGAAGGUUUGCUAAUCACGGUCGGACAUCGUGAGGUUAGUGCAAUGGUAUAAGCAAGCUUAACUGCGAGA
RNAcentral lists this ribosomal RNA (1110 nucleotides) under Haemophilus influenzae. RNAcentral describes it as "bacterial LSU rRNA". It matches the Rfam family "Bacterial large subunit ribosomal RNA", at positions 1286 to 2380 of the family's 2925-position model. Lineage: Bacteria; Pseudomonadati; Pseudomonadota; Gammaproteobacteria; Pasteurellales; Pasteurellaceae. The record is from RNAcentral.